RNAcentral lists this ribosomal RNA (495 nucleotides) under uncultured bacterium. Its description in RNAcentral is "partial 16S ribosomal RNA". It matches the Rfam family "Bacterial small subunit ribosomal RNA", at positions 28 to 505 of the family's 1533-position model. The record is from RNAcentral.
GAUGAACGCUGGCGGCGUGCCUAAUACAUGCAAGUCGAGCGAACGGACGAGAAGCUUGCUUCUCUGAUGUUAGCGGCGGACGGGUGAGUAACACGUGGAUAACCUACCUAUAAGACUGGGAUAACUUCGGGAAACCGGAGCUAAUACCGGAUAAUAUUUUGAACCGCAUGGUUCAAAAGUGAAAGACGGUCUUGCUGUCACUUAUAGAUGGAUCCGCGCUGCAUUAGCUAGUUGGUAAGGUAACGGCUUACCAAGGCAACGAUGCAUAGCCGACCUGAGAGGGUGAUCGGCCACACUGGAACUGAGACACGGUCCAGACUCCUACGGGAGGCAGCAGUAGGGAAUCUGCCGCAAUGGGCGAAAGACUGACGGAGCAACGCCGCGUGAGUGAUGAAGGUCUUCGGAUCGUAAAACUCUGUUAUUAGGGAAGAACAUAUGUGUAAGUAACUGUGAACAUCUUGACGGUACCUAAUCAGAAAGCCAAGGCUAACUACG